AUGGUGAGCAUUGACUUAUCUUUCAACCAAUUAAUUGGGAGAAUACCAGAAGAAAUAGCUGCUCUUGGUGCGUUGAUAAACUUGAAUCUAUCGUGGAACCAAUUGAGUGGGAAAAUCCCAAAUAAGAUUGGGGCCUUGCAGGCAUUGGAAUCACUUGACCUCUCAAGGAACAUGCUUUCUGGCGGGAUCCCUUCGAGCCUGUCAGAUAUAACCUAUUUGAGCUACUUGGACCUGUCUGAUAACAAUCUAACAGGGAGAAUACCAUCAGGACGUCAGCUUGACACCCUCUACAAUGAGCAACCUUCCAUGUACAGUGGCAACAAUGGUCUUUGUGGAUCUCCUCUUCCAAACAGUUGCCCUGGAAGGAAUGUAACAAUGCAAGACGAUCAGAAAAUGAAUGGACAUUCCUUUGAGCCAAUGACCUUUUAUUUUGGACUCGCUCUGGGAUUUAUUCUGGGUCUCUGGGCGGUGUUCUGCGCCUUGUUGUGUAAGAAAGCAUGGAGGAUUGCUUAUUUCCACAUGGUUGACCACACAUAUGAUCAGAUAUAUGUGUUUGCCGUUAUCACAUGGAAAAGCUGGGCCAGACAGGGAACUACAAAUUGA
Molecule: ribosomal RNA, 603 nt
Filed under: Triticum aestivum (bread wheat)
Lineage: Eukaryota; Viridiplantae; Streptophyta; Magnoliopsida; Poales; Poaceae
Description: partial small subunit ribosomal RNA
Source: RNAcentral